GUGGUCUCAGCAGCUGCCCAGACAGAGUGGAGCCGGCUUGGGGGGAAGAGCGACCCAGCCUGGGAAGCUGUGUUAUUGUAACAACUACGAAGCCCAGGUGCGGAGCUGUUUUGCUGCUACGCACACCAGGGGCAGGCAGAGAGGAGUGCGCUGACAGUGCCUCGGGCUGCAGCUCAUGCUGGCACAUGCAGCGAGAGAACGGGGAUCUUCCCGUGACCUUUCUGCUUCCUUCCUAAAUGCCCUGCCCCUCCCCUGCUCUGCAUCCCCAUCUCUUAUCUGUUCCAGGCCAGGGCCUCGCACUGCUCCAAGGGCGAAGGCAAGUCCCCCCGGCCAAUCCUUCCGCUCCUAAUUCCAAGGCCAAGCCACCUCGAACUCGUCAGGCCAGCCGCCUGGAGGGGAGGAGGCUGGAUAGCACGCAGGCCUCGCUCGGAGGAGCUGGCGUGGGUAUCUGCUGAGCGGGGACCAGAACGCUGGCUUUGUUCCGUCACUGUGUGCUAACGCGGCCGGGAAAGGGACAGGAAAACGAGGACAAGGGAGACAUUCACCUCCACGUUACUGAUCCAAGCUCUCAAGCACAGCACCAGCUGCUCACGUGGGAAUUCGAGUGGGCUGGAGAGCGGACAAUUGACUGGAGAAUGCAGUUGUUUCGGCACUUCCUAGCACUGGCUGGGACCAGCAAUGUGGGAACACUGGAAGAAGUUCACGUCUGCAGCCUGGGGACAAGACAGGAGUGAUGAUAAACCCAUUCAGAGGGCUCCCAAUGGAUCUGGGGAAGCGGGGUUCCAGGGACUGCAGCGAGGCAUGUUGGGAUCCAGAGGAGCCAGUAUUCAGCAGCACUCCUGGAGCCAGGGAGUGCUCUGGCAUUUAAUGCAACACACCGAGGGGUGAGACGUGACAAAAUCCAGAACCACAUACGCCCUGUCUGACGUUUGGGCCCCACUCGGCUGCUGGAGGCAGAAAUCAGGCCUCGUUUUGGCAGGGCAGAAAUGCAGGAGGAUCCAAACACUGACUGACUUGGUGCCAGGAUUCACACACCCGGCUCCUGAGUACAGUAGGUUACAUACCCUGGGCACAAGUGCCAGUCUUUCAACACCGAGCAUUGCACAGUAGGAGCCACACCCCAGCAAUGCACAAGGGCCAGGCUUCACCCUCCCACUUGGGAGACCUCUACUCGCUCCCACCAUCCUGGUGCUGCCAGUGAGUCUGCAGCCUGGCAUCUGGGUGCAGUAGGGUUCCUGCCAGGGCAUUAGUGCCAGGGUUCAUCCUCCCAGCUGCCUCCACAGUGUGACAGUCAGCCCUUCUCUCCCAUCUCCCGGGCUGUUUAUGACUGCUCCUAUGCUCGCUGAGUGUCAUUUUUCCAUGGGACACUGGAGGCUGGUGAAAUCACAUCUGGAGUCUAGACUCAGUGACUC
Molecule: long non-coding RNA, 1412 nt
Organism: Mauremys reevesii (Reeves's turtle)
Lineage: Eukaryota; Metazoa; Chordata; Testudines; Geoemydidae
Exons: 3
Source: RefSeq, a predicted model, not a curated record